Molecule: non-coding RNA, 77 nt
Organism: Potamilus streckersoni
Lineage: Eukaryota; Metazoa; Mollusca; Bivalvia; Unionida; Unionidae
Source: the annotation of a GenBank genome assembly
GACUGCUCCGGUGGCCUAGUGGUUAGAGCGCCCGCCUCUGAUGUUGGAGGUCGCAGUUUCAAACCCAGGCUAAGUCA